Molecule: ribosomal RNA, 503 nt
Filed under: uncultured bacterium
Lineage: Bacteria
Description: partial 16S ribosomal RNA
Rfam family: Bacterial small subunit ribosomal RNA
Source: RNAcentral
GAUGAACGCUAGCGAUAGGCCUAACACAUGCAAGUCGAGGGGCAGCAUAGAGUAGCAAUACUUUGAUGGCGACCGGCGCACGGGUGAGUAACACGUAUGCAACCUACCUACAUCAGGGGAAUAACCCGGAGAAAUUCGGACUAAUACCGCAUAAUACAGGGAUGCCGCAUGGCAAUAUUUGUUAAAGAUUUAUCGGAUGUAGAUGGGCAUGCGUUCCAUUAGCUAGUUGGUAAGGUAACGGCUUACCAAGGCAACGAUGGAUAGGGGAACUGAGAGGUUUGUCCCCCACACGGGGACUGAGACACGGACCAGACUCCUACGGGAGGCAGCAGUGAGGAAUAUUAGUCAAUGGACGAGAGUCUGAACCAGCCAAAUCGCGUGAAGGAAGACUGCCCUACGGGUUGGAAACUUCUUUUGUACAGGAAUAAAAGACAUUACGUGUAAUGUAUUGCAUGUACUGUACGAAUAAGCAUCGGCUAACUCCGUGCCAGCCGCCGCAGUAA